GACUCAUGCUUUGUUGACUCUAUUACAUCUGCCUUGUAUCAGCUGCACUGACUGCCAGUCUAUUUCCAAAUGCAAUUCAAGGUGCUUGUGCUUGCCUGUAAAGUCCUAAACAGCUCAAGGUGGCUGCACUGGUUGCUGCACUUACAGCAGUAAAGGAUGAAAGGAAUUGCAACACUGAAAGGAUUUUUGCUUAUGAUUGUCUUUCUGGAGUAGAGUUGAAGAACCCCUGCUGUGAAGAAGCCAAUUAUCUGUGGUGUGCAGUUUAAGUGCUGCAAGAUAUUUCCCAAGUCUUUGGAAUUUGCUUCUAUGUAACCUAUCUACAGAAAUAAAAAUAUGAAUGCAAAAAAGAGUUUCAUGUUGAAUUCCUUGGGGAGCAAGGUAACCAUGCCAGGACAUGCAGGUGGUCAGAUCAGAGUUUUCAGUUUAUGUACCAGAUGUUUCUUAUUAGUAAUUAUACAUUAAAAAGCAUAUCCUACAGCUAAUGGACCACAGAGCGAAAAUGGCAGGACAGAUACUAAGGAAAAAUGUGGUAUGUUUUGGAAUACAUUAGAGAGGGACAGAUAUGUCACACUUGAUCUCAUUCAGGUCUCUUUUCUUUACCUCUGAGCUUGUACCAGUUCUAUAUAAUUUCCCCUACCCCACCGUGUAAGAAUUUCUGUGCAGUGUUUUAUUUUAUUUUCAAAUGCACACAUUUUAUAGAUGAACAUUCAUUGACUAACCUACAGAAGAGGUAAGAACAUGUAAGACAACUUGUAACACAAUUGUCUCAUUGCUUGUUGAAUAAGGCUGACUUUAACCAUUGUUUUGUUGUAGGGAAAAGUAUGAACCAUGAGCUAAUAGCCAUGUUGGUUAUUAACUUUUUUAUACGUUUUUGUCUUUAGUUUUUUCUUAGAGACAAGGGAAGGGUUAGUCUGAUAUGUAAACAAUGUUACCUAUGUGUUCUUAUCUAAUCACCAUUUUUCUAUUGUGUUCUAUUUUCUAAUUAGGCAUUUUAAUCAAAACUGAAAUUUAUUAAAAAUAACAUUUGAUGUGCUUUUUCAUUUCAUCUACCUUUUCCUUAUACAUCAUUAAUCUCAUCAUCUUUUGGAAUAUUUACUAAGACUACCAUCUCUUCUUUCUUGUGUGUGUUUUUGCUUAAAGCUUUCUGGACAGGAAUUUCUGGACAGUUUUUAAUUAAAUGUUAUAUUCACUAUAUCCCAGUCACUCAGUUUGUGAUCAGCACAUUCUCCGUGUUUCUUUUAGUUCUGUUCUUGUAGCAUCUGUAGUAAUACCAGCCAAUACUGCUAGGACAGCUGCUGUUUUAUUUUCUCAAAAUUUUCCAGAUUUUGCAGCAGUCCAGAGCGUCGUGGAUAACAAAUGAUGGUGUCACAAGGCAUACAGUAUUCAGAGAGAAUAAAAUAGUAAUCACCAGGGAGUAGCUACAUAGAAGAACUACAUAGCUCCUGCAGAUAAAUAAAUAUCCAUGAAAGAGGUAAAGGAAAACUACCCCAUUAUAUUGCUCUGAAAGUUACUUUUUAAAGUAAUUUAAUUAUCGCUCUUUGGUAUGGUCCAUUUCUGAUUGCAGUCAUAGGAAAAAAGAUAUAACCAUCUGAACAGAACCUGGGAGUUGCUAAGACAGACUGGGAGAAUGGACAUGAACAAAUCAGCUUGUUCCUUAGUACUAACUAACAAGAAUGUGCUGAUCACUUAUCAAGCAAAUGGACUGCAAUGAGAAUAAGAUGUAAAUAAAAACUGGCAGGGAAAUUCCUGUCCAGAAAGGUUUAAGCAAAUGCACACAGGGAAGAAGAGGCAACAGGGUCAUUCCUGUCCUCAGACUAUUUUAAUAGAAUAAAAGUGAAGAGCAAAACAAGGAAUAUGAUCUUAAUGAAGGAAUGAUAUGAUUUUAAUAAAUGUGAUUUUUUUUAAAAAUAAGGAAAUGAAUUAUGCUUUUAAUAAUUUAAAUAAAUUGAAUUAAAAAUUCUACACUCCCACA
Long non-coding RNA from Varanus komodoensis (Komodo dragon), 1972 nucleotides. RefSeq lists it as uncharacterized. The transcript has 3 exons. The record is from RefSeq and is a predicted model, not a curated record. NCBI's taxonomy places the organism in Eukaryota, Metazoa, Chordata, Lepidosauria, Squamata, Varanidae.